AUACGUAGGGGGCGAGCGUUGUCCGGAUUUAUUGGGCGUAAAGAGCUCGUAGGCGGCUCAGCAAGUCGGCCGUGAAAACCUGAGGCUCAACCUCAGGACGCCGGUCGAAACUGCUGUGGCUAGGGUUCGGUAGAGGAGAGUGGAAUUCCCGGUGUAGCGGUGAAAUGCGCAGAUAUCGGGAGGAACACCAGUAGCGAAGGCGGCUCUCUGGGCCGACACCGACGCUGAGGAGCGAAAGCUAGGGGAGCAAACAGGAUUAGAUACCCGAGUAGUCC
RNAcentral lists this ribosomal RNA (275 nucleotides) under uncultured bacterium. Its description in RNAcentral is "partial 16S ribosomal RNA". It matches the Rfam family "Bacterial small subunit ribosomal RNA", at positions 523 to 796 of the family's 1533-position model. The record is from RNAcentral.